This 333-nucleotide long non-coding RNA is filed under the name Mytilus galloprovincialis (Mediterranean mussel). The record is from RNAcentral. Lineage: Eukaryota; Metazoa; Mollusca; Bivalvia; Mytilida; Mytilidae.
CUUUGGUCAAGGUAAGCAUGGUUUCUUUUUGUCAAGGUAAGGGUCAAGGUAAGCAUAAAGUUUCUUUGGGUCAAGGUAAGAGCCAAGGAAAGCAUAGUUUGUUUUGGUCAAGGUAAGAGUCAACAAAAAUUCGUACCCAUAAAUUUUCUUCUGGUCAGGGUAUUAAAGCAUAAAGAUUCUUUUUGUCAAGGUUAGCAUAACUUUUUUUUUUGUCAACUACACGUACAUGUAUUUUUUUUUUGCAAGGUAUUUCAAAGUAUAAGUCUCUUUUGGUCAAUGGUAGGCACAAACUUCUUUGGGUCUAGGUAAGCAGUUUCUUUGAGUCAAGGUAAG